This is a ribosomal RNA of Xenopus tropicalis (tropical clawed frog), 119 nucleotides long. The record is from Ensembl. NCBI's taxonomy places the organism in Eukaryota, Metazoa, Chordata, Amphibia, Anura, Pipidae.
GCCUACAGCCAUACCACCCUGAAAGCACCCGCUCUCGUUUGAUCUCGGAAGCUAAGCAGGGACGGGUCUGGGUAGUACCUGGAUGGGAGACAGCCUGGGAAUACCAGGUGUUGUAGGCU